RNAcentral lists this unclassified non-coding RNA (1026 nucleotides) under Hevea brasiliensis (rubber tree). Lineage: Eukaryota; Viridiplantae; Streptophyta; Magnoliopsida; Malpighiales; Euphorbiaceae. The record is from RNAcentral.
GAAGAAAACAGAGAGUACCAUGGCAGAAGAAGUGAAGCUCUUCAGGAACUGGUCAAGCCCAUAUGGUUUGAGGGUGUUGUGGGCACUAAAACUGAAGGGUAUUGAGUAUGAAGAAGUACUUGAAGAUCUUUCCAACAAGAGUCCUUUACUUCUGCAGUAUAAUCCUGUUUACAAGAAGAUCCCUGUACUUGUUCAUAAUGGAAAACCCAUCUGUGAAUCUGUUCUUAUUCUUGAAUACCUGGACGAGACUUGGAAACAAAAUCCACUGCUUCCUGAAGAUCCUUACCAACGAGCCAAGGCUCGCUUCUGGGCUAAGUUCGGGGAUGAGAAGAUCUUGCCAACAAUUAGAUUUGACGCUCUCAUAAAGCAAGGAAAAGAACAGGAAGAAGCAAUUCUUUCAACCAUAGAGAGCUUGAAAUAUUUGGAAGAAGAGCUAAGAGGAAAGAAAUUCUUUGGAGGAGAGACCAUUGGACUAGCAGAUCUUACAUUGGGUUGGAUUGCUUAUUAUAUGGAUGUACUUGAGGAGGUAAUUGGUGUAAAAGUGAUAGACCAAGAAAAAUUCCCAUUAUUAGUGGCAUGGAUCCAAGAAUUCUCAAAUAUCCCAAUGAUCAAGAAAAGUUGGCCUCCAAGAGACAAACUCUAUGAUAGGUAUGCUGGCUUUCGCGGGGCUGCCCUUGGAAAAGAAACACCAAAAUGAACCCAUGCAAUAUGGAAAUUCCUAUAGAAUUGUAUUAAUAUUAUGAAAUACUUAUCAAGAAUAAACACAUCCUUUAGGGGUGAUUGUGUAUUAUUUGCUAUGGAGGGUGAUUUCUCAUUGAUUUGUCCCAAAUAAGGCCAUCAAUCCUUAUCUUUAAUUUCGUCUUGUGAAGCAGAUAUGGAGAAAACUUAUCAGGGACAAGAUAGAGAUAGAGGGUACAUACUCCCUAUUCACAAGAUCCUUAACAUGCAAACAUCAACUACAUGAUCAUAUAAAAAAUACAUAUUGGCUUCAAAUUGGUGUUAAGGAUCUUGUGAAUAGGGAGUAUG